GUGAGGAAUAUUGCGCAAUGGAGGCAACUCUGACGCAGCCAUGCCGCGUGCAGGAAGAAGGCGCUACGCGUUGUAAACUGCUUUUAACCGGGAAGAAACCCCAGGACGUGUCCUGGGUUGACGGUACCGGAGGAAUAAGCACCGGCUAACUUCGUGCCAGCAGCCGCGGUAAUACGAAGGGUGCAAGCGUUAUCCGGAUUCAUUAGGUUUAAAGGGUGCGUAGGCGGAGCGUUAAGUCAGUGGUGAAAUCCUGCAGCUUAACUGUAGACUUGCCAUUGAUACUGGCGCUCUUGAGUGCGCUUGAAGUGGGCGGAAUGUGCCGUGUAGCGGUGAAAUGCUUAGAUAUGGCACAGAACACCAAUUGCGAAGGCAGCUCACUAAGGCGAUACUGACGCUGAGGCACGAAAGCGUGGGGAUCGAACAGGAUUAGAUACCCCUGUAGUCC
Molecule: ribosomal RNA, 445 nt
Filed under: uncultured bacterium
Lineage: Bacteria
Description: partial 16S ribosomal RNA
Rfam family: Bacterial small subunit ribosomal RNA
Source: RNAcentral